GUGUCAGCAGCCGCGGUAAUACGAAGGGGGCUAGCGUUGUUCGGAAUUACUGGGCGUAAAGCGCGCGUAGGCGGCGACCUUUGUCAGAGGUGAAAUCCCGAGGCUCAACUUCGGAAUUGCCUUUGAAACGGGGUUGCUUGAGUCCGAGAGAGGAUGGCGGAAUUCCUAGUGUAGAGGUGAAAUUCGUAGAUAUUAGGAAGAACACCGGUGGCGAAGGCGGCCAUCUGGCUCGGUACUGACGCUCAGGCGCGAAAGCGUGGGGAUCAAACAGGAUUAGAUACCCUGGUAGUCCACGCUGUAAACGAUGAGUGCUAGUUGUUGGGAAGUUUACUUCUCAGUGACGCAGCUAACGCGUUAAGCACUCCGCCUGGGGAGUACGGCCGCAAGGUUAAA
RNAcentral lists this ribosomal RNA (393 nucleotides) under uncultured bacterium. RNAcentral describes it as "bacterial SSU rRNA". It matches the Rfam family "Bacterial small subunit ribosomal RNA", at positions 505 to 898 of the family's 1533-position model. The record is from RNAcentral.